Molecule: transfer RNA, 75 nt
Filed under: Chloroflexi bacterium RBG_16_57_11
Lineage: Bacteria; Bacillati; Chloroflexota
Description: tRNA-Lys
Rfam family: tRNA
About the family: Transfer RNA (tRNA) molecules are approximately 80 nucleotides in length.
Source: RNAcentral
GGGCGUGUAGCUCAAUGGCAGAGCAGUGGCCUUUUAAGCCAUUGGUUGAAGGUUCGAGUCCUUCCACGCUCACAA